CGUAGCUAUAAGUAGAAACGAAAUUGGUUUAAAUUCUUAAGAUAUGAAAGAUUAAAGUCGAAUUUUAUCAACUUCAAUUGUUCAAUAAAAGCAUUAGAAACGAAAUUUCGUCGUUACGAACGCGAUUUUCAGUUGUAAUGCUUACAGAAUUAUCAUUACACGCACUGACAGUAAGCAGAUACCAUUCGAAAAUUCAACAAAAGUGUUGUUCAUACCACCAGUUUGAUGUUAAAAACUGCAGUUUUGAUGAAAUCUCCGUAAGUUCUGGAAAAAAUUAUACAUUCACUAUACUAUCUAAAAUCCAAAUUGGGACCAGUACCGAAUCACAGGCGUCAUUGGAUACACAGGAACAAAUAACCCAAAAGAGAUAAGAGAAAAUCACAAGAAUUGAUAACAAGUAUGAUUUUUAUUAGUUCAAGUCUAUGCCUUAAUUGAAAAAAAACUAAAAGUAUAGUUAAGAUUACGAGUAAACUAAAUGGCUCUUGUUCCGCCCAGACUGUGUAGAUGUCGAUAUUCUACGUCAUAUCUUAAUUUAUCUCAAAUGUUUUCAAUUGUGAUGCGGUUUGUAUUAAUAAAUUUACUUAGCUUCUUUUUUUUUUUUUUUUACUUAUAAAGCUACCUUCGUGCCUUAUUUCUAAAGAUAUAUUCAAAUUUUGAGAGCACUUUCCUGGAAAUUGAGAUCGUUCCGAGAAAAACUGCCAUUACAUUUUAAUGCUUAUAAUGCACAUUAAUCUUUGG
RNAcentral lists this long non-coding RNA (738 nucleotides) under Androctonus crassicauda. The record is from RNAcentral. Lineage: Eukaryota; Metazoa; Arthropoda; Arachnida; Scorpiones; Buthidae.